UCUCUCUGAAUCUGCGAACGGCUCCGCAAACCAGUUGUAAACCAAAGCAAGCAAGCCUGCGGCUCGGCCCUCACGGGUUGGGUUGUGGGUGAUAUGGAUAACCCUGGUAAUUCUGAGGCUAAUACGAGAACGUAAUCCCUGGCUGACCGGGUAACUGGAAAGCUGGGGGGCGUGUGAUCUAUUUUGCAAGAUGAUCCAGGGAGGGGUGCACGCUCUGACCGCGACAAAGACAGUGACGGCAAACCCUCGGGUGAGUCGGAUCUGAGCGGCUCUUGCGAUGUGCUUCUGACCUAUCAACUAGAUGGCAGCGUAACGGACAUGCCAUGGUUACAACGGGUACAGAGGAUUAGGGUUCGAUCCUGGAGAGUGGGCCUGAGAGAUU
RNAcentral lists this ribosomal RNA (382 nucleotides) under Diderma tigrinum. Its description in RNAcentral is "SSU rRNA". It matches the Rfam family "Eukaryotic small subunit ribosomal RNA", at positions 76 to 405 of the family's 1831-position model. The record is from RNAcentral. Lineage: Eukaryota; Evosea; Eumycetozoa; Physariida; Didymiaceae.